AGUUUGAUCAUGGCUCAGGACGACGCUGGCGGCGUGCUUAACACAUGCAAGUCGAACGGAAAGGCCCCCUUGUGGGGUACUCGAGUGGCGAACGGGUGAGUAACACGUGAGUAACCUACCUUGACUUUGGGAUAACUUCAGGAAACUGGGGCUAAUACCGGAUAGGAGCUCCUGCUGCAUGGUGGGGGUUGGAAAGUUUCGGCGGUUGGGGAUGGACUCGCGGCUUAUCAGCUUGUUGGUGGGGUAGUGGCUCACCAAGGCUUUGACGGGUAGCCGGCCUGAGAGGGUGACCGGCCACAUUGGGACUGAGAUACGGCCCAGACUCCUACGGGAGGCAGCAGUGGGGAAUAUUGCACAAUGGGCGGAAGCCUGAUGCAGCAACGCCGCGUGCGGGAUGACGGCCUUCGGGUUGUAAACCGCUUUCGCCUGUGACGAAGCGUGAGUGACGGUAAUGGGUAAAGAAGCACCGGCUAACUACGUG
Molecule: ribosomal RNA, 481 nt
Filed under: uncultured bacterium
Lineage: Bacteria
Description: bacterial SSU rRNA
Rfam family: Bacterial small subunit ribosomal RNA
Source: RNAcentral